Molecule: unclassified non-coding RNA, 379 nt
Filed under: uncultured bacterium
Lineage: Bacteria
Description: contains 16S-23S intergenic spacer region
Source: RNAcentral
UCCCCGUUUUCCGAGGCAGUCCCCUUAGAGUGCCCGGCAUUACCCGAUGGCAACUAAGGGCAAGGGUUGCGCUCGUUGCGGGACUUAACCCAGCAUCUCACGACACGAGCUGACGACAGCCAUGCAGCACCUCUGCAGGAGUUCCAGAGGAAAGGGCCUGUUUCCAGACCUGUCACCUGCAGUUCAAGCCCUGGUAAGGUUCUUCGCGUUGCGUCGAAUUAAGCCACAUGCUCCGCCGCUUGUGCGGGUCCCCGUCAAUUCCUUUGAGUUUCAACCUUGCGGUCGUACUCCCCAGGCGGGGUACUUCCUGCGUUAGCGCCGGCACCCAGAGGGUCGCUCCCCCAGGCACCUAGUACCCAUCGUUUACGGCGUGGACUAC